GUGACUUCCUCUCCCGUCACCCUGAUAACACUUUCUCCAUGAACUUUGGCCAUGCUGCUGUUCUUGCUUACGUCCCCCCUCACUCCCCUUUAACCAAGGACCGAAGGUUGUUUUGCGGGUUUGAGGACAUAUACUGUCUGUUCAUGGGGUCCUUGAACAACUUGUGCUCGCUGAUCAGGCAAUAUGGGUUGUCAAAGGGAACCGAUGAGGCCAUGUUUGUGAUAGAGGCGUAUCGUACGCUCAGAGACCGGGGUCCUUACCCUGCUGACCAGGUUGUCAAGGAUCUUGAUGGGAGCUUUGCUUUUGUGGUCUACGAUAGCAAGGCCGGCACGGUCUUCACAGCUCUGG
RNAcentral lists this long non-coding RNA (348 nucleotides) under Citrus maxima (pomelo). Its description in RNAcentral is "long non-coding RNA (CMAX_LNC000792)". The record is from RNAcentral. Lineage: Eukaryota; Viridiplantae; Streptophyta; Magnoliopsida; Sapindales; Rutaceae.